GAAAAAAAACAAACAUUCUUCUUUCUCUCGAAAACAAAAACUCUUCGCCCUAGCCGUCAAGAAAAAAAAUUCUCUGAUGGCCGGCGAUGGCCGAAAAAAAAUUCUCUAUCCGAUCUCUUUCUCUCUUCAGCUCUACUAACCUUUCAGAAUCAGCCAUGGAUGAAGAGUACGAGGUUAUCGUUCUCGUCACCAGUCUCAAAGAGUGUAUCCUCAGUGGUUUCCUUUCCGUCGAUAGUGUCAAGCACUUUGUGCCUUUGUGGUAUAACGGGACUGAAAACAACAUAUGGUUGGACACAUAUGACAGGAUGAUACACAUGUGAAGUGUGUUUAAGGAUUGUGAUUAAAGAUAUAUAUUAUUCCGCUAGGACAGGUUCUUGUUUUUAAAGUUUCACGUUUUGGUUGUAGAUGAGCUCAGAACCAACUUCAACACUAGCAGAACAAAGAGCUACGACAUGGUGUUUAUGUUUAGUCUUUAGUAAUCAUAUUGUAAUAAGAAACGACAUGGUGUUAUGUUAUCUUCAGUGAAUUAUAUAGCCUUACUGUAUACCUCUAUUCUUUAUGUUUGGAUAAAUACAAAUUAAAACAACUUGGGAUAUUGUCUUGUUUUGAAAUUUAUGAAAUUAUUAUUUUGUUCUU
Non-coding RNA from Camelina sativa (false flax), 636 nucleotides. The record is from RefSeq and is a predicted model, not a curated record. Lineage: Eukaryota; Viridiplantae; Streptophyta; Magnoliopsida; Brassicales; Brassicaceae.